Molecule: ribosomal RNA, 253 nt
Filed under: uncultured bacterium
Lineage: Bacteria
Description: partial 16S ribosomal RNA
Rfam family: Bacterial small subunit ribosomal RNA
Source: RNAcentral
UACGGAGGGGGCUAGCGUUGUUCGGAAUUACUGGGCGUAAAGCGCACGUAGGCGGCUUUGUAAGUUAGAGGUGAAAGCCCGGGGCUCAACUCCGGAAUUGCCUUUAAGACUGCAUCGCUAGAAUUGUGGAGAGGUAAGUGGAAUUCCGAGUGUAGAGGUGAAAUUCGUAGAUAUUCGGAAGAACACCGGUGGCGAAGGCGGCUCACUGGCUCAUUACUGACGCUCAGGCGCGACAGCGUGGGGAUCAAACAGG